GUCCACACUGUAAACGAUGAUUACUCGAUGUGUGCGAUACACAGCACGCGUCUUAGCAAAAGCGAUAAGUAAUCCACCUGGGGAGUACGCCGGCAACGGUGAAACUCAAAGGAAUUGACGGGGUCGCACAAGCGGUGGAGCAUGUGGUUUAAUUCGAUGAUACGCGAGGAACCUUACCUGGGCUAGAAUGCCCUUGACACUUUCAGAGAUGAGAGGUUCCGCAAGGACAAGGAGCAAGGUGCUGCAUGGCUGUCGU
This 256-nucleotide ribosomal RNA is filed under the name uncultured bacterium. RNAcentral's name for it is "partial 16S ribosomal RNA". It matches the Rfam family "Bacterial small subunit ribosomal RNA", at positions 793 to 1055 of the family's 1533-position model. The record is from RNAcentral.